Molecule: long non-coding RNA, 1192 nt
Filed under: Zostera marina
Lineage: Eukaryota; Viridiplantae; Streptophyta; Magnoliopsida; Alismatales; Zosteraceae
Description: long non-coding RNA (ZMAR_LNC002022)
Source: RNAcentral
CUUAUCCUCCACAAUUAGUUAACCUUUAGAAAUUAACUCUACGAUAACAGUCUUUAGCACCGUGUCCUUUAAACAAAUCUGACAUGGAGCUUUUCAUUGAAUCUUGAUGAGCAUAUAUAUAUAGUUCUUUCCUCUAGUUUCUAUGCUCGACUCAAUCUUUGACGGAGUAAGUGCGAACUGUAGCUCCUGAUCCAUUGGCAACAAACUCUUUAAUUGAAUAAGGGUCUUGGCGUGAUCAAAUAUAUCUAGUAGUAAUCGUGGAGAAAAAUGGUUGAUAAUCGAUUCCCAGACCACCCUGCAAGGUAAUUAGAACAAUCUGUGAAUCUUUAAUUUUAUCUCCAGCAGCAGCAAGUUUGUCCCUAGCAAUUGUAAUUUUCUUCAAAUAAUCUACCAUCGAUCGACAUUUGAUCUUUCUUGAUAUUUUGUAAUUGGAAUCACAGAUGCAAUAGCCUUGCUGUUUCUCUAUUCGAUGAGAACAUCUCGUUCAAACAUUUCUACACUUGUUUUCAUUUCUUUUUUUCUUUCUUCUUGAUUACUUCUUUUUUUUCUUCCUUCUUGAUUACAUCUUUUUUCAGAUCUGUUUAGAUCGAUCCUUAGUUUCUCAAAUCUUGUGUCGACUGACGUCGAUUCUUGUGUUGAUAACCUCUUUGAUUAUUAUUAUUUCAGGUUUAGGUUUCGUCUAUUUUCGAUGUGAUGGAAUUGUCUACGUCUCUUUUGAUAUCUUUAUGUUCGAUUGGUGUGGUGUGGUCCACGACUUAGAUCAAACAGAUGUCGUCUUUGGAUUUGGAUCAUUUUCUUGUAAAUGCAAGCUGAAAGGGCUGCUGGUUAAUUUUAGAGGAUUUAGUCUGACGGAUGAAAGCUGAUAGGAUCGUUUCUUAAUUUCAUGCUGUAUUUUCGAUCAAUAUGUACGUAUUUUCAUGUAUGCACUGAUUGGCAUAUGUUUUUGGUAACAUUGAACUCGACCUUUGCCAUGUUGGGUGCGCUCGCAUGCAUGGCAGGUCACUCUAAAUCCUAAUAAAAAAAAAGUUUUUUUGGUUUGGUUUGGAGAAGUUUUUUUUAUAUCCAUGGUCGAUCUUGGUGUUUCUUCAUUUUGUUAUUUAUUUGUAUUGCGUUCACAUCAUUGGAUCGUCUUUCAUUGGUUAUAUGAGUUACGUCGUUCGUUCAAAUUGUCUUGAGGUGCCCAUUAAUUUAU